This 234-nucleotide ribosomal RNA is filed under the name uncultured Lactobacillus sp. RNAcentral's name for it is "partial 16S ribosomal RNA". It matches the Rfam family "Bacterial small subunit ribosomal RNA", at positions 128 to 354 of the family's 1533-position model. The record is from RNAcentral. Lineage: Bacteria; Bacillati; Bacillota; Bacilli; Lactobacillales; Lactobacillaceae.
GCCCAAGAGAUCGGGAUAACACCUGGAAACAGAUGCUAAUACCGGAUAAUAACAGAUGAUGCCUAUCAACUGUUUAAAAGAUGGUUCUGCUAUCACUCUUGGAUGGACCUGCGGUGCAUUAGCUAGUUGGUAGGGUAACGGCCUACCAAGGCGAUGAUGCAUAGCCGAGUUGAGAGACUGAUCGGCCACAUUGGGGCUGAGACACGGCCCAAACUCCUACGGGAGGCAGCAGAU